Priapulus caudatus is the source of this 497-nucleotide long non-coding RNA. RefSeq lists it as uncharacterized. The record is from RefSeq and is a predicted model, not a curated record. The transcript is spliced from 3 exons. NCBI's taxonomy places the organism in Eukaryota, Metazoa, Priapulida, Priapulimorpha, Priapulimorphida, Priapulidae.
UUGUGAGUAAGGUGCUACAGUGUGCGUAUAAGCACAGGGUUGCCCUGCUUGGGUAGCCAUGGGUAUCUAGUUAUAGUAAACAGUGCGUAUGCCUACGCCUAUACCGGAGCUAGCGGUAUCACCGAGGUGGAACGGUUCCCAUUAAUAGUAUAAGUCGGCUAGCAGAGCGAACAAACGUUUAUUUCAAUCGUAACACCCGCUGGAAGGGACUGUGCCGUGUAACAAUCAACAUUCACGCGGCUCAAGGUAUAUAAGGUAGCGAGGCGCAGCAAACUGACGGUAUAAGAAGGAAGCGAGCCGCCUCGUUGAAAUAGAUCCAUCGUGCAAACCAGCGUUCCCUAAUCUGACGAUGUUGCGUCAAGUACAGAUCUUUUUCCUAGUGGUGACGGUGGCAUAUGCAAUGAAAGGCAGUGGCCGUGGCCGUGGUCGGCGCGUGGAAACUACGGUUGCGCCCACGCAAGAAAUUAUGGACGUACAAGUUGGAGAAUUGCCUUGGA